GACGAACGCUGGCGGCGUGCUUAACACAUGCAAGUCGAACGGUGAACGAGGGAGCUUGCUCCCUCCGGAUCAGUGGCGAACGGGUGAGUAACACGUGGGCAAUCUGCCCCGAACUCUGGGAUAAGCGUUGGAAACGACGUCUAAUACCGGAUACGACGCGGGAGGGCAUCCUCUCCGCGUGGAAAGAACUUCGGUUCGGGAUGAGCUCGCGGCCUAUCAGCUUGUUGGUGAGGUAACGGCUCACCAAGGCGACGACGGGUAGCCGGCCUGAGAGGGUGACCGGCCACACUGGGACUGAGACACGGCCCAGACUCCUACGGGAGGCAGCAGUGGGGAAUAUUGCACAAUGGGCGCAAGCCUGAUGCAGCAACGCCGCGUGAGGGACGACGGCCUUCGGGUUGUAAACCUCUUUUAGCAGGGAAGAAGCGGAAGUGACGGUACCUGCAGAAAAAGCACCGGCUAACUACGUG
This 470-nucleotide ribosomal RNA is filed under the name uncultured bacterium. Its description in RNAcentral is "partial 16S ribosomal RNA". It matches the Rfam family "Bacterial small subunit ribosomal RNA", at positions 28 to 507 of the family's 1533-position model. The record is from RNAcentral.